RNAcentral lists this unclassified non-coding RNA (515 nucleotides) under uncultured Archaeospora. RNAcentral's name for it is "SSU rRNA". It matches the Rfam family "Eukaryotic small subunit ribosomal RNA", at positions 569 to 1084 of the family's 1831-position model. Lineage: Eukaryota; Fungi; Glomeromycota; Glomeromycetes; Archaeosporales; Archaeosporaceae. The record is from RNAcentral.
AGCAGCCGCGGUAAUUCCAGCUCCAAUAGCGUAUAUUAAAGUUGUUGCAGUUAAAAAGCUCGUAGUUGAAUUUCGGGGUCAGUAGGUUGGUCAUGCCUUUGGUAUGUACUGGUCUCACUGAUUCCUCCCUCUUGAAGAACUGUAAUGUCAUUAAUUUGGUGUUGCGGGGAAUCAGGACUGUUACUUUGAAAAAAUUAGAGUGUUUAAAGCAGGCUUACGCUUGAAUACACUAGCAUGGAAUAAUGAAAUAGGACGUUUGAUCCUAUUUUGUUGGUUUCUAGGAUUGACGUAAUGAUUAAUAGGGAUAGUUGGGGGCAUUAGUAUUCAAUUGUCAGAGGUGAAAUUCUUGGAUUUAUUGAAGACUAACUACUGCGAAAGCAUUUUGCCAAGGAUGUUUUCAUUAAUCAAGAACGAAAGUUAGGGGAUCGAAGACGAUCAGAUACCGUCGUAGUCUUAACCAUAAGCUAUGCCGACUAGGGAUCGGAUGAUGUUAAUUUUUUAAUGACUCAUUCGGC